AGGACGAACGCUGGCGGCGUGCUUAACACAUGCAAGUCGAACGAGGUCCAUCCAGUCGCAAGACUGGUGAAGGCCGAGUGGCGAACGGGUGCGUAACACGUGAGAAACCUGUCCCGGUCUCUGGAAUAACAGUCGGAAACGACUGCUAAUACCGGAUGCCGUCGGAGCGUCGCAUGGCGCGCUGACGAAAGGGCUACCGGAUCGGGAGGGUCUCGCGGCCUAUCAGCUUGUUGGUGAGGUAACGGCUCACCAAGGCAUCGACGGGUAGCUGGUCUGAGAGGAUGAUCAGCCACACUGGGACUGAGACACGGCCCAGACUCCUACGGGAGGCAGCAGUGGGGAAUCUUGCACAAUGGGCGAAAGCCUGAUGCAGCAACGCCGCGUGCGGGAUGAAGGCCCUAGGGCUGUAAACCGCUUUCAGCAGGGAAGAAAUGACGGUACCUGUAGAGAAGGUGCGGCAACUACGUGCCAGCAGCCGCGGUAAC
This 485-nucleotide ribosomal RNA is filed under the name uncultured bacterium. Its description in RNAcentral is "SSU rRNA". It matches the Rfam family "Bacterial small subunit ribosomal RNA", at positions 26 to 524 of the family's 1533-position model. The record is from RNAcentral.